Molecule: ribosomal RNA, 1328 nt
Filed under: Levilactobacillus brevis
Lineage: Bacteria; Bacillati; Bacillota; Bacilli; Lactobacillales; Lactobacillaceae
Description: bacterial SSU rRNA
Rfam family: Bacterial small subunit ribosomal RNA
Source: RNAcentral
GACGAACGCUGSCGCCGCGGCGUAUUAGCUAGAUGGUGGGGUAACGGCUCACCAUGGCAAUGAUACGUAGCCGACCUGAGAGGGUAAUCGGCCACAUUGGGACUGAGACACGGCCCAAACUCCUACGGGAGGCACACGGCCCAAACUCCUACGGGAGGCAGCAGUAGGGAAUCUUCCACAAUGGACGAAAGUCUGAUGGAGCAAUGCCGCGUGAGUGAAGAAGGGUUUCGGCUCGUAAAACUCUGGCGUGCCUAAUACAUGCAAGUCGAACGAACUCUGGUAUUGAUUGGUGCUUGCAUCAUGAUUUACAUUUGAGUGAGUGGCGAACUGGUGAGUAACACGUGGGAAACCUGCCCAGAAGCGGGGGAUAACACCUGGAAACAGAUGCUAAUACCGCAUAACAACUUGGACCGCAUGGUCCGAGCUUGAAAGAUGGCUUCGGCUAUCACUUUUGGAUGGUCUUGUUAAAGAAGAACACCUUUGAGAGUAACUGUUCAAGGGUUGACGGUAUUUAACCAGAAAGCCACGGCUAACUACGUGCCAGCAGCCGCGGUAAUACGUAGGUGGCAAGCGUUGUCCGGAUUUAUUGGGCGUAAAGCGAGCGCAGGCGGUUUUUUAAGUCUGAUGUGAAAGCCUUCGGCUUAACCGGAGAAGUGCAUCGGAAACUGGGAGACUUGAGUGCAGAAGAGGACAGUGGAACUCCAUGUGUAGCGGUGGAAUGCGUAGAUAUAUGGAAGAACACCAGUGGCGAAGGCGGCUGUCUAGUCUGUAACUGACGCUGAGGCUCGAAAGCAUGGGUAGCGAACAGGAUUAGAUACCCUGGUAGUCCAUGCCGUAAACGAUGAGUGCUAAGUGUUGGAGGGUUUCCGCCCUUCAGUGCUGCAGCUAACGCAUUAAGCACUCCGCCUGGGGAGUACGACCGCAAGGUUGAAACUCAAAGGAAUUGACGGGGGCCCGCACAAGCGGUGGAGCAUGUGGUUUAAUUCGAAGCUACGCGAAGAACCUUACCAGGUCUUGACAUCUUCUGCCAAUCUUAGAGAUAAGACGUUCAAAGGAAUUGACGGGGCCCCGCACAAGCGGUGGAGCAUGUGGUUUAAUUCGAAGCUACGCGAAGAACCUUACCAGGUCUUGACAUACUAUGCAAAUCUAAGAGAUUAGACGUUCCCUUCGGGGACAUGGAUACAGGUGGUGCAUGGUUGUCGUCAGCUCGUGUCGUGAGAUGUUGGGUUAAGUCCCGCAACGAGCGCAACCCUUAUUAUCAGUUGCCAGCAUUAAGUUGGGCACUCUGGUGAGACUGCCGGUGACAAACCGGAGGAAGGUGGGGAUGA